This is a long non-coding RNA of Clarias gariepinus (North African catfish), 320 nucleotides long. RefSeq lists it as uncharacterized. Lineage: Eukaryota; Metazoa; Chordata; Actinopteri; Siluriformes; Clariidae. The transcript has 3 exons. The record is from RefSeq and is a predicted model, not a curated record.
GGUGUUUUGCCAGGCAGAAGCGUGGAGAGCAGCCCGCCUUGCCACCUCUGCUACUGCCAUGGUGCGUAAUCUGCUGCUGGCACCUUCGACUUUGAGACUUUGCUGCAACCUGAAUGGUGGAAAGCCAACCAGAGGGGAUGGGGAGCAGCUGGUCGCGUUUAUUAGGCAUUGGAGACUGCAUAAGAUGCUACAUUGAAGAAGUGGCCGGCAGCCACCCGAGGGCAGACAGGCACAUCUAUCAAUUCAAAGCUCACGAAGCUGAGAAGGUCCUCAAAAUAUAUAUAUUUUUUCUUCCUGUUGAGUUUUUUGUCUUAUUUUUG